This 65-nucleotide transfer RNA is filed under the name Labidostomis urticarum. RNAcentral describes it as "tRNA-Asp". Lineage: Eukaryota; Metazoa; Arthropoda; Insecta; Coleoptera; Chrysomelidae. The record is from RNAcentral.
AAAAAUUUAGUUAAAUCAUAACGUCAGCUUGUCAUGCUGAAAUUAUUGCCAAGUAAUAAUUUUUA